Molecule: small nucleolar RNA, 90 nt
Organism: Malania oleifera
Lineage: Eukaryota; Viridiplantae; Streptophyta; Magnoliopsida; Santalales; Ximeniaceae
Product: small nucleolar RNA Z221/R21b
Exons: 1
Source: RefSeq, a predicted model, not a curated record
GGGCAGCGAUGAGGAUAUAAGAAUGUCAUGCACCACUCUGAUCGAAUCGUUAAUCGGUUCAGUGGUGACAAAUAUUAUGGAUCUGAGCCC